RNAcentral lists this ribosomal RNA (606 nucleotides) under Vibrio pacinii. RNAcentral describes it as "bacterial SSU rRNA". It matches the Rfam family "Bacterial small subunit ribosomal RNA", at positions 64 to 654 of the family's 1533-position model. Lineage: Bacteria; Pseudomonadati; Pseudomonadota; Gammaproteobacteria; Vibrionales; Vibrionaceae. The record is from RNAcentral.
GAAACGACAACAUUGACCCUUCGGGUGAUUUGUUGGGCGUCGAGCGGCGGACGGGUGAGUAAUGCCUGGGAAAUUGCCCUGAUGUGGGGGAUAACCAUUGGAAACGAUGGCUAAUACCGCAUGAUGCCUACGGGCCAAAGAGGGGGACCUUCGGGCCUCUCGCGUCAGGAUAUGCCCAGGUGGGAUUAGCUAGUUGGUGAGGUAAGGGCUCACCAAGGCGACGAUCCCUAGCUGGUCUGAGAGGAUGAUCAGCCACACUGGAACUGAGACCCGGCCCAGACUCCUACGGGAGGCAGCAGUGGGGAAUAUUGCACAAUGGGCGCAAGCCUGAUGCAGCCAUGCCGCGUGUAUGAAGAAGGCCUUCGGGUUGUAAAGUACUUUCAGUCGUGAGGAAGGGGGUAUCGUUAAUAGCGGUAUUCUUUGACGUUAGCGACAGAAGAAGCACCGGCUAACUCCGUGCCAGCAGCCGCGGUAAUACGGAGGGUGCGAGCGUUAAUCGGAAUUACUGGGCGUAAAGCGCAUGCAGGUGGUUCGUUAAGUCAGAUGUGAAAGCCCGGGGCUCAACCUCGGAAUAGCAUUUGAAACUGGCGGACUAGAGUACUGUAG